This 482-nucleotide ribosomal RNA is filed under the name uncultured bacterium. Its description in RNAcentral is "partial 16S ribosomal RNA". It matches the Rfam family "Bacterial small subunit ribosomal RNA", at positions 30 to 507 of the family's 1533-position model. The record is from RNAcentral.
AUUGAACGCUGGCGGCAUGCCUUACACAUGCAAGUCGAACGGUAACGGGCCUUCGGGUGCCGCCGAGUGGCGAACGGGGGAGUAAUACAUCGGAACGUGCCCGAACGUGGGGGAUAACGGGGCGAAAGCUUUGCUAAUACCGCAUACGAUCGACGGAUGACAGCGGGGGACCGCAAGGCCUUGCCCGGCCGGAGCGGCCGAUGGCAGAUUAGGUAGGUGGUGGGAUAAAGGCUUACCAAGCCGACGAUCUGUAGCUGGUCUGAGAGGAUGAUCAGCCACACUGGGACUGAGACACGGCCCAGACUCCUACGGGAGGCAGCAGUGGGGAAUUUUGGACAAUGGGCGCAAGCCUGAUCCAGCCAUGCCGCGUGCAGGAUGAAGGCCUUCGGGUUGUAAACUGCUUUUGUACGGAACGAAAAGCCUUCUUUUAAUACAGGAGGGUCAUGACGGUACCGUAAGAAUAAGCACCGGCUAACUACGUG